RNAcentral lists this ribosomal RNA (566 nucleotides) under Colletotrichum sp. RNAcentral's name for it is "eukaryotic LSU rRNA". The stretch from base 215 to 368 matches the Rfam family "5.8S ribosomal RNA". Lineage: Eukaryota; Fungi; Ascomycota; Sordariomycetes; Glomerellales; Glomerellaceae. The record is from RNAcentral.
UCUCCGUUGGUGAACCAGCGGAGGGAUCAUUACUGAGUUACCGCUCUAUAACCCUUUGUGAACAUACCUAACCGUUGCUUCGGCGGGCAGGGGAAGCCUCUCGCGGGCCUCCCCUCCCGGCGCCGGCCCCCACCACGGGGACGGGGCGCCCGCCGGAGGAAACCAAACUCUAUUUACACGACGUCUCUUCUGAGUGGCACAAGCAAAUAAUUAAAACUUUUAACAACGGAUCUCUUGGUUCUGGCAUCGAUGAAGAACGCAGCGAAAUGCGAUAAGUAAUGUGAAUUGCAGAAUUCAGUGAAUCAUCGAAUCUUUGAACGCACAUUGCGCUCGCCAGCAUUCUGGCGAGCAUGCCUGUUCGAGCGUCAUUUCAACCCUCAAGCACCGCUUGGUUUUGGGGCCCCACGGCACACGUGGGCCCUUAAAGGUAGUGGCGGACCCUCCCGGAGCCUCCUUUGCGUAGUAACUAACGUCUCGCACUGGGAUCCGGAGGGACUCUUGCCGUAAAACCCCCCAAUUCUUUACAGGUUGACCUCGGAUCAGGUAGGAAUACCCGCUGAACUUAA